Molecule: ribosomal RNA, 498 nt
Filed under: uncultured bacterium
Lineage: Bacteria
Description: partial 16S ribosomal RNA
Rfam family: Bacterial small subunit ribosomal RNA
Source: RNAcentral
GACGAACGCUGGCGGCGCGCCUAACUCAUGCAAGUCGAGCGGAGAUACUUGAAGGAAGUUUUCGGAUGGAAUUUGAGUAUUUUAGCGGCGGACGGGUGAGUAACGUGUGAGUGACCUGCCUUCCACAGGGGGAUAACGUACCGAAAGGUACACUAAUACCGCAUGAGACCACAGCACUGCCUGGUGCAGGGGUCAAAGGAGCAAUCCGGUGGAAGAUGGACUCGCGUCCGAUUAGAUAGUUGGUGGGGUAACGGCCUACCAAGUCAGCGAUCGGUAGCCGACCUGGGAGGGUGAUCGGCCACAUUGGAACUGAGAGACGGUCCAAACUCCUACGGGAGGCAGCAGUGGGGAAUAUUGGGCAAUGGGGGAAACCCUGACCCAGCGACGCCGCGUGAGGGAAGAAGGUUUUCGGAUUGUAAACCUCUGUUCUUGGUGAAGAGGGAAAGACGGUAGCCAAGGAGGAAGCCCCGGCUAACUACGUGCCAGCCGCCGCGGUAA